GACGAACGCUGGCGGCGUGCUUAACACAUGCAAGUCGAACGGAAAGGCCCUGCUUUUGUGGGGUGCUCGAGUGGCGAACGGGUGAGUAACACGUGAGUAACCUGCCCUUGACUUUGGGAUAACUUCAGGAAACUGGGGCUAAUACCGGAUAGGAGCUCCUGCUGCAUGGUGGGGGUUGGAAAGUUUCGGCGGUUGGGGAUGGACUCGCGGCUUAUCAGCUUGUUGGUGGGGUAGUGGCUUACCAAGGCUUUGACGGGUAGCCGGCCUGAGAGGGUGACCGGCCACAUUGGGACGGAGAUACGGCCCAGACUCCUACGGGAGGCAACGGUGGGGAUUAUUGCACAAUGGGCGGAGGCCGGAGGCAGCAACGCCCGGUGCGGGAUGACGGCUUUCGGGUUGUAACCGCUUUCGCCUGUGACGAAGCGUGAGUGACGGUAAUGGGUAAAGAAGCACCGGCUAACUACGUG
Molecule: ribosomal RNA, 467 nt
Filed under: uncultured bacterium
Lineage: Bacteria
Description: partial 16S ribosomal RNA
Rfam family: Bacterial small subunit ribosomal RNA
Source: RNAcentral